AUGAGGUCGCUGCCUUGGUUUGCUGCCACACUGCUUUUCUCCCUUCUUCUCUCCUCCAGAAGAAGGAUGAGAGUCCAGAGCUGUGCCUGCUGCAGGUGGAAGGGAGGAGACAAGCAGCAGUUCCUGAGCACCUACCACACGCCAGGCUUCAGGCCAGGAAAUACAAGGAUAAAUGGAAGGCAAUUCAGAUAACCAGGGCUUUCAGCAUGGGGCUUACUGUCAGAACUUGGAAAAAAAAUGUAUUUAUUGAUGGGAAAAAGGUACAGAAAAGAAAAUGGAAACUCCAAGAGGUUAGUAGAUGAUCGGUAGACAGGAUAUAAUGUAAAAUGUGAGAUAGAGUAUUACUCUUACUCUAUAUACCAACCCUACACUGUCUCUGUAACUGAACCUACAAUUAUAUAUAAAUACAUUUACAAAUAUUUACUUUCAAAAUAUUUAUGGUAAUUCAACCCUCCUCUUCAAACUCAGUGCUAUAGUGCUAAUUUGGGCAAUUAAUAUCUCUUUAAUUUGUCUAUUUUAAGAACCUCCAGCUCCUUCUUCCUCUACCUAGCCACCAGAGGGUGUAUUUAUCUAAAGCAAACAUGAUCAUAUUUCUACCUUGCUUAAACCAUUCAAUGGCUCCCUGUGAUUCUAUUUUACCUAUUUGACUAACCUACACUCCCCAGUUAUUCAAUUAAAUAUGAAUCUAGGUGUUGCUGUGGAAGGUAUUUUGUACAUAUGAUUAGUCCAUAAUCAGUUGACUUUGAAUUAGGGAGAUUAUGCCAGCUCUUCUGAGUGGGCCUGAUUCAAUUAGUUGAAAGGCUGUAAGAACAGAACUGAGGCUUCCCUGAUGAGGAAAAAAACUCUUCCUAUGUUCAGAAGCUUUAGCUCAUGCCCUAGAUUUCCAGGCUUCUCUUAUGAUGGCCUGUCCUUCAGAUUUUGGCUUGUCUAGCCUGCCCCUACAAUCACUUAAGCCAAUUGCUUGCAUUAAAUCUCUUAAUAUAUUUAUUGAGAUAGAUAGAUAUAUCUUACUGGUUCUGUUUUUGUGGUUGAACACUGAUUUAUACACUCAUCAUAACUUAUAAGAUGAGAUUCAAAGGGUAGAGGCCUUUUUGACCCUACUAAAGGUGUUUAAGUGAAACUUCUGAUGAAUUAUUGGCUGGCCACUAAGCUAUGCCAACUCAGGGGUGAACCCAUGAAAGCCAGAUGAAAAAUUUUUUCAACAAUUUUUUAGAAAGCAGCUGAGCAGCCAGCAGAGACUAUACUAUGAAAGAAACAGACUCCAGAUAAUUAAUCCAAAAAAUGUCUGGG
This 1290-nucleotide long non-coding RNA is filed under the name Macaca mulatta (Rhesus monkey). RNAcentral describes it as "lncRNA (ENSMMUG00000053492.1)". Lineage: Eukaryota; Metazoa; Chordata; Mammalia; Primates; Cercopithecidae. The record is from RNAcentral.